UACGGAGGUGGCAGGCGUUACUCGGAUUGAUUGGGUGUAAAGGGUGUGUAGGUGGCGAGUUAAGUCGAAUGUGAAAGCCCAUGGUUCAACCAUGGAAUUGCAUUCGAAACUGGCUUGCUUGAGCGACUGAGAGGUAAAUGGAAUUCCCGGUGUAACAGUGAAAUGUGUAGAUAUCGGGAGGAACACCAGUGGCGAAGGCGAUUUACUGGCAGUCUGCUGACACUGAAACACGAGAGCUAGGGGAGCAAACAGG
RNAcentral lists this ribosomal RNA (253 nucleotides) under uncultured bacterium. RNAcentral describes it as "partial 16S ribosomal RNA". It matches the Rfam family "Bacterial small subunit ribosomal RNA", at positions 524 to 776 of the family's 1533-position model. The record is from RNAcentral.